This 285-nucleotide ribosomal RNA is filed under the name Triticum aestivum (bread wheat). RNAcentral's name for it is "partial small subunit ribosomal RNA". The record is from RNAcentral. Lineage: Eukaryota; Viridiplantae; Streptophyta; Magnoliopsida; Poales; Poaceae.
AUGUGCAUACCAAAAAAUCGAGGAACGGGAUUCCGUGAUAUCCACUGUUUCAACCUGGAUUUGCUCACAAAACAGGCAUGGCGUCUUCUUGAUUAUCCCGAUUCCUUGUGUGCUACUAUUCUAAGGGCCAAGUACCAUCUUGAUGGCGAUUUUCUGAAUUCCAAGCGAAAGCAUGGCGUUUCUUUCACCUGGCAAAGCAUUAUGGCAGGCAUAACUUCCCUGAAACGUGGCUAUAUUUGUCAAGUGGGGAAUGGACAUAAAAUCAAUAUUUGGGAAGAUGCCUAG